Long non-coding RNA from Leopardus geoffroyi (Geoffroy's cat), 453 nucleotides. RefSeq lists it as uncharacterized. The record is from RefSeq and is a predicted model, not a curated record. Lineage: Eukaryota; Metazoa; Chordata; Mammalia; Carnivora; Felidae. The transcript is spliced from 2 exons.
AGGCGGAACUAUCUCUGCAAGUCCAAGAAAGCUGGUACUGACAAUGUUGUAGCUGAACCGGAUACCCCACAAUAGUCUCCAGCCUUGAGGAAGCAGCUCUACCUCUCUCUAUCUUGGACAAAAUGAAUUUUAAGAGAUCACCUUGAGUGUUUAGAUCCUGUUUCCCAAGCAAACAUUUUCAGCAGUCUUUGAGGACAAUCUUCAGCAAAAUGAGAGAACAGACCAAGAAAAAGAAAAGCAUGAACUCAAGUGUAUCCAAACCAGGAGCCCAGCUGAAGGAAGUCCCAGAAGGGCAGCUACCCAGCAGGCUCACAGAGCGACUGGCACAGAUGGGAGCAAGAAGGGCCCUCUUUUUCCGUAUCCUGUGAUUUUUAAAAGCAUAUGCUUGUAUUAUCUGAAAUACUUCAGUUAAAAAAAAAAAACACCAGCAUACUUCAUGUUACAAACUUUCUU